This 678-nucleotide ribosomal RNA is filed under the name Rhizobium rosettiformans. RNAcentral's name for it is "bacterial SSU rRNA". It matches the Rfam family "Bacterial small subunit ribosomal RNA", at positions 60 to 786 of the family's 1533-position model. Lineage: Bacteria; Pseudomonadati; Pseudomonadota; Alphaproteobacteria; Hyphomicrobiales; Rhizobiaceae. The record is from RNAcentral.
AGUCGAGCGCCCCGCAAGGGGAGCGGCAGACGGGUGAGUAACGCGUGGGAAUCUACCGUGCCCUACGGAAUAGCUCCGGGAAACUGGAAUUAAUACCGUAUACGCCCUACGGGGGAAAGAUUUAUCGGGGUAUGAUGAGCCCGCGUUGGAUUAGCUAGUUGGUGGGGUAAAGGCCUACCAAGGCGACGAUCCAUAGCUGGUCUGAGAGGAUGAUCAGCCACAUUGGGACUGAGACACGGCCCAAACUCCUACGGGAGGCAGCAGUGGGGAAUAUUGGACAAUGGGCGCAAGCCUGAUCCAGCCAUGCCGCGUGAGUGAUGAAGGUCUUAGGAUUGUAAAGCUCUUUCACCGGUGAAGAUAAUGACGGUAACCGGAGAAGAAGCCCCGGCUAACUUCGUGCCAGCAGCCGCGGUAAUACGAAGGGGGCUAGCGUUGUUCGGAAUUACUGGGCGUAAAGCGCACGUAGGCGGAUAUUUAAGUCAGGGGUGAAAUCCCAGAGCUCAACUCUGGAACUGCCUUUGAUACUGGGUAUCUUGAGUAUGGAAGAGGUGAGUGGAAUUCCGAGUGUAGAGGUGAAAUUCGUAGAUAUUCGGAGGAACACCAGUGGCGAAGGCGGCUCACUGGUCCAUUACUGACGCUGAGGUGCGAAAGCGUGGGGAGCAAACAGGAUUAGAUACC